This 920-nucleotide ribosomal RNA is filed under the name uncultured bacterium. RNAcentral's name for it is "bacterial SSU rRNA". It matches the Rfam family "Bacterial small subunit ribosomal RNA", at positions 8 to 916 of the family's 1533-position model. The record is from RNAcentral.
AGAGUUUGAUCAUGGCUCAGGACGAACGCUGGCGGCGUGCUUAAUACAUGCAAGUCGAGCGAGGUUAUCUUUUCAAAGUCCUUCGGGACCGCGAAUUUUUAACCUAGCGGCGGACGGGUGAGUAACGCGUGGGCAACCUGCCCUAAAGCCUGGGAUAACAGCGGGAAACUGCUGCUAAUACCAGAUACCUUUACGAUGAGGCAUCUUGUUGUAAAGAAAGAUUUAUCGCUUUAGGAUGGGCCCGCGUCCCAUUAGCUAGUUGGUGAGGUAACGGCUCACCAAGGCGACGAUGGGUAGCCGGCCUGAGAGGGUGGACGGCCACACUGGGACUGAGACACGGCCCAGACUCCUACGGGAGGCAGCAGUAGGGAAUACUGCGCAAUGGAGGAAACUCUGACGCAGCGACGCCGCGUGAGCGAUGAAGGUCUUCGGAUCGUAAAGCUCUGUCCUUGGGGAAGAAGGUCUUCGGACUUGACGGUACCCAUGGAGGAAGCCCCGGCUAACUACGUGCCAGCAGCCGCGGUAAUACGUAGGGGGCAAGCGUUGUCCGGAGUUAUUGGGCGUAAAGGGUGCGUAGGCGGCCUUUUAAGUCAGAUGUGAAAGCCCACGGCUCAACCGUGGGAUUGCAUUUGAAACUGGAGGGCUUGAGUAUCGGAGAGGGUAGUGGAAUUCCCAGUGUAGCGGUGAUACGCGUAGAUAUUGGGAGGAACACCAGUGGCGAAGGCGACUACCUGGACGAUUACUGACGCUGAUGCACGAAAGCUAGGGGAGCAAACAGGAUUAGAUACCCUGGUAGUCCUAGCCGUAAACGAUGGGUACUAGGUGUAGGAGGUUUCGAUACCUUCUGUGCCGCGGUUAACGCAUUAAGUACCCCGCCUGGGGAGUACGUGCGCAAGCAUGAAACUCAAAUGAAUUGACGG